RNAcentral lists this ribosomal RNA (500 nucleotides) under uncultured Glomeromycotina. RNAcentral describes it as "partial small subunit ribosomal RNA". It matches the Rfam family "Eukaryotic small subunit ribosomal RNA", at positions 591 to 1092 of the family's 1831-position model. Lineage: Eukaryota; Fungi; Glomeromycota. The record is from RNAcentral.
CCAAUAGCGUAUAUUAAAGUUGUUGCAGUUAAAAAGCUCGUAGUUGAAUUUCGGGGUCAGUAGAUUGGUCAUGCCACUGGUAUGUACUGGUCUCACUGAUUCCUCCUUCCUGAUGAGCCGUAAUGCCAUUAAUUUGGUGUUGCGAGGAAUCUGGACUGUUACUUGGCAAAAAUUAGAGUGUUUAAAGCAGGCUAACGCUUGAAUACAUUAGCAUGGAAUACUGAACUAGGACGUUCGAUCUUAUUUUGUUGGUUUCUAAGAUUGACGUAAUGAUUAAUAGGGAUAGUUGGGGGCAUUAGUAUUCAAUUGUCAGAGGUGAAAUUCUUGGAUUUAUUGAAGACUAACUACUGCGAAAGCAUUUGCCAAGGAUGUUUUCAUUAAUCAAGAACGAAAGUUAGGGGAUCGAAGACGAUCAGAUACCGUCGUAGUCUUAACCAUAAACUAUGCCGACUAGGGAUCGGAUGAUGUUAAUUUUUUAAUGACUCAUUCGGCGCCUUACG